This 492-nucleotide ribosomal RNA is filed under the name uncultured bacterium. RNAcentral's name for it is "partial 16S ribosomal RNA". It matches the Rfam family "Bacterial small subunit ribosomal RNA", at positions 29 to 507 of the family's 1533-position model. The record is from RNAcentral.
AGUGAACGCUGGCGGUAGGCCUAACACAUGCAAGUCGAACGGCAGCACAGUAAGAUCUUGCUCUUACGGGUGGCGAGUGGCGGACGGGUGACGAAUACAUCGGAAUCUACUUUUUCGUGGGGGAUAACGUAGGGAAACUUACGCUAAUACCGCAUACGACCUACGGGUGAAAGCAGGGGAUCUUCGGACCUUUCGCGAUUGAAUGAGCCGAUGUCGGAUUAGCUAGUUGGCUGGGUAAUGGCCCACCAUGGCGACGAUCCGUAGCUGGUCUGAGAGGAUGAUCGGCCACACUGGAACUGAGACACGGUCCAGACUCCUACGGGAGGCAGCAGUGGGGAAUAUUGGACAAUGGUCGCAAGCCUGAUCCAGCGAUACCGCGUGGGUGAAGAAGGCCUUCGGGUUGUAAAGCCCUUUUGUUGGGAAAGAAAAGCAGCAGGUUAAUACCCCGCUGUUCUGACGGUACCCAAAGAAUAAGCACCGGCUAACUUCGUG